This 1252-nucleotide ribosomal RNA is filed under the name metagenome. RNAcentral describes it as "SSU rRNA". It matches the Rfam family "Eukaryotic small subunit ribosomal RNA", at positions 284 to 1493 of the family's 1831-position model. The record is from RNAcentral.
CCUUUGGUGAUGCAAACGAGUAACUGCCCUAUCAACUUUCAACCGUAGUGUAGGGGACUACGGUGGUUGUAACGGGUACGGGGAAUUAGGGUUCGAUUCCGGAGAGGCAGCCUGAGAAACGGCUACCACUUCCAAGGAAGGCAGCAGGCGCGUAAAUUAUCCAAUCCCAAUUCGGGGAGAUAGUGACAAGAAAUACUGGUGUAGGGCCUUUUGGGUUCUACUAUCGGAAUGAGUACAAUUUAAAACCAUUAGCGAGGUACAAUUGGAGGGCAAGUCUGGUGCCAGCAGCCGCGGUAAUUCCAGCUCCAAGAGUGUAUAUUAAAGUUGUUGCGGUUAAAAAGCUCGUAGUUGGACUGCAAGUUGAAGUGUGAAGUCCCCGGGGACGUUGUUCUCGGGAUCAAGGCUUUUGCUCUUCUUCUAGGAAAUUUGACGCAAAAACACGGGGUUCUCCUCGUGGUCAGGUUAGUUUUACUUUGAAUGAAUUAGGGUGUUCAAAGCAGGCGAAUCGCCGUGAAUACAUUAGCAUGGGAUAAUAAAAUAUGACAUUGGUCUAAUACUUAUUGGUUUCUGAGGCCAGAGUAAUGAUUAAAAGGGACAGUUGGGGUCGCUUGUAUUCAGUGGUCAGAGGUGAAAUUCUAGGACCCACUGAGGACAAACAAAUGCGAAGGCAUUCGACAAGGAUGUUUUCAUUAAUCAAGAACGAAAGUUGUGGGAUCGAAGAUGAUCAGAUACCGUCGUAGUCACAACCGUAAACUAUGUUGACUUAGGAUUGGGGGAUGUUAAUAGAUGACUCUCCUAGCACUAUGUGCGAAAGCAUAAGUAUCCAAACUCCGGGGGGAGUAUGGUCGCAAGGCUGAAACUUAAAGGAAUUGACGGAAGGACACCACCAGCAGUGGAACCUGCGGCUUAAUUUGACCCAACACGGGGAAACUCACCCGGUCCGGACAUUGUAAGGAUUGACAGAUUGAUAGCUCUUUCUUGAUUUGAUGGGAGCCGGUGCAUGGCCGUUUUUAGUUGGUGGAGUGAUUUGUCUGGUUAAGUCCGAUAACGAACGAGACCUCAAUUUGCUAAAUAGGAUGCUUCACAGGGUGGUCUUCUGGCUUGUCGGGUUUCGGCUCGGCUUGUUGGGGGGUUGCCGUUUAGUUGUGGGGCAAAUUUUACUUCUUAGAGAGACAGUUAACAAGAAAGAUAGUUAAAGGAGGCUUGAGGCAAAAACAGGUCUGUGAUGCCGCUAGAUGCCCGGGGCUGCACG